This 509-nucleotide ribosomal RNA is filed under the name uncultured bacterium. RNAcentral describes it as "bacterial SSU rRNA". It matches the Rfam family "Bacterial small subunit ribosomal RNA", at positions 17 to 507 of the family's 1533-position model. The record is from RNAcentral.
UCCUGGCUCAGAGUGAACGCUGGCGGCAGGCCUAACACAUGCAAGUCGAGCGGCAGCGCGUCCGACCACCCUCGGGUGGUCGGAUGGCGGCGAGCGGCGGACGGGUGAGGAAUGCAUCGGAAUCUGCCUCGUUGUGGGGGAUAACGUAGGGAAACUUACGCUAAUACCGCAUACGACCUACGGGUGAAAGUGGGGGACCUUCGGGCCUCACGCGAUGAGAUGAGCCGAUGCCGGAUUAGCUAGUUGGCGGGGUAAAGGCCCACCAAGGCGACGAUCCGUAGCUGGUCUGAGAGGAUGAUCAGCCACACUGGAACUGAGACACGGUCCAGACUCCUACGGGAGGCAGCAGUGGGGAAUAUUGGACAAUGGGGGCAACCCUGAUCCAGCCAUGCCGCGUGAGUGAAGAAGGCCUUCGGGUUGUAAAGCUCUUUCGGCCGGGAAGAAAUCGCACAGGUUAAUACCCUGUGUGGAUGACGGUACCGGAAUAAGAAGCACCGGCUAACUACGUG